Molecule: long non-coding RNA, 1321 nt
Filed under: Marmota monax (woodchuck)
Lineage: Eukaryota; Metazoa; Chordata; Mammalia; Rodentia; Sciuridae
Source: RNAcentral
AAGGGUUUAUUGGGGGUCCAGCAUGCUGGGGCUCCAAGCCUACCUCGAAGAGGUAAAGAGCAAAGAGCCCCAAGAACAGCUUGAGCAGAGCUUAUAUACAUUCUUUGAAAAGGGCAGGGACUUCACAUACAACAUAACAAAUCACCUAGGUAGGGGUGAUUGGUCAGUACAAAAGGGGUAUUCAUUUGAACUGAUUGGUUUAAGCCAAGAGGGGUGUACAUGCUGAAUUACAUGGUUUCCCAACUUGUUAUCAACCACCAUAAACUGCUGGGAGGGUUAUCUGGCAUUCCAGGUAUUUCCCUGUCUCAUGCUGAUUGGUGGCUGCUAGGGGGCUGCUAUGGAUCCCCACCUAGCCUGACUGAGUCAGGGACACCUGGCACAACAGAUCUCUCCUGUAGAUAAACAACUUAGCAGGGUGGGAAUGUGCCUAGGAGUGCUCUGUGGGUUUUUCCAAGGACAAAGGUCAUGUCCCUUCCUUGGACAGGCUUUGCUCUGAGGUAGAGGCUGGUUUUUCAAUUUAAGUUCCAAACUGUAGCAUACUUCCUCACUUCCAAAGGCUGAUAUCCAUCUCACAAUACAAAAUGUGUUUAGCUCAUCUCCGAGAGUCUUCAAAGUAUGAACGUCCUAGCAUUGCUCAAAAGUCCGAGUCCAAAGUCUCCUGGUAGACUCAAGGCAAACCCUUCAUUGUGUACCUGUAAAAAUCAAGACGUAAGUUACAUACUUCCAAGAUUCAAUGAUAGGACAGGGUAGACAUUUCCAUUCCCAAAAGGAGGGAUGAGGCAAAAAAAGGGAAGGGUCAGACCAAAGCAAGACUAAAACUCAGCAGGACAAUGUUAAUUUCUGUAGCUCCAUGUGUGUUUGGUAUCUGGGACACAUGAUGUGAUGUGAGCUCCAAAGGACUUGGGCAGCUCUGUCCCUAGGCCUUGCUAAUUGCAGCCAAGAUGGCCAUUUUGGGGGCUAGCUCUGCCUACUCCUUGCAACUUCUCUUGGCAGGCAUUCUACCUUCUUGGCAUCCAUAACUCCCUGGGAUCUCCAUUGCAGCUCUGGCCUCACUCUUGUGGUUUCCUACAUUGCCCUUUCAGGGGCUGCUGGCAGAAACUCAGAUCCUGCCUCACACUGCCUGGUCUAUCAGGCUUUCCUUUGAAAUCCUGGUGGAUGCUUCUAGCAUCAUGUGGACCAAGCCAAGGUCUGCUGCUGACCUGACUCAUUCCAGAGACCCCUUGAACCAUGGCUGUAGCAGCCUGAGCACCUUGAAAGCUGAUCACAGGAAACAAUCCUGGGGAAGCGAUUUGCUAGGCCACUCUGUAUGAGUAGUGUCCUG